CCUACGGGAGGCAGCAGGGAGGAAUAUUGGACAAUGGACGAGAGUCGGAACCAGCCAAGUAGCGUGAAGGAUGACUGCCCUAUGGGUUGUAAACUUCUUUUAUAAAGGAAUAAAACGAGGCACGUGUGCCUUUUUGCAUGUACCUUAUGAAUAAGGAUCGGCUAACUCCGUGCCAGCAGCCGCGGUAAUACGGAGGAUCCGAGCGUUAUCCGGAUGUAUUGGGUUUAAAGGGAGCGUAGAUGGGUUGUUAAGUCAGUUGUGAAAGUUUGCGGCUCAACCGUAAAAUUGCAAUUGAUACUGGCAGUCUUGAGUACAGUUGAGGUAGGCGGAAUUCGUGGUGUAGCGGUGAAAUGCUUAGAUAUCACGAAGAACCCCGAUUGCGAAGGCAGCUUACUAGACUGUGACUGACAUUGAUGCUCGAAAGUGUGGGUAUCAAACAGGAUUAGAUACCCUGGUAGUC
RNAcentral lists this ribosomal RNA (460 nucleotides) under uncultured bacterium. RNAcentral describes it as "partial 16S ribosomal RNA". It matches the Rfam family "Bacterial small subunit ribosomal RNA", at positions 338 to 795 of the family's 1533-position model. The record is from RNAcentral.